AGUGAACGCUGGCGGUAGGCCUAACACAUGCAAGUCGAACGGCAGCACAGUAAGAGCUUGCUCUUACGGGUGGCGAGUGGCGGACGGGUGAGGAAUACAUCGGAAUCUACUUUUUCGUGGGGGAUAACGUAGGGAAACUUACGCUAAUACCGCAUACGACCUACGGGUGAAAGCAGGGGAUCUUCGGACCUUGCGCGAUUGAAUGAGCCGAUGUCGGAUUAGCUAGUUGGCGGGGUAAAGGCCCACCAAGGCGACGAUCCGUAGCUGGUCUGAGAGGAUGAUCAGCCACACUGGAACUGAGACACGGUCCAGACUCCUACGGGAGGCAGCAGUGGGGAAUAUUGGACAAUGGGCGAAAGCCUGAUCCAGCCAUACCGCGUGGGUGCAGAAGGACUUCGGGUUGUAAAGCCCUUUUGUUGGGAAAGAAAAGCAGCAGGUUAAUACCCCGCUGUUAUGACGGUACCCAAAGAAUAAGCACCGGCUAACUUCGUG
Molecule: ribosomal RNA, 492 nt
Filed under: uncultured bacterium
Lineage: Bacteria
Description: partial 16S ribosomal RNA
Rfam family: Bacterial small subunit ribosomal RNA
Source: RNAcentral